GACGAACGCUGGCGGCGUGCCUAAUACAUGCAAGUAGAACGCACAGUUUAUACCGUAGCUUGCUACACCAUAGACUGUGAGUUGCGAACGGGUGAGUAACGCGUAGGUAACCUGCCUGGUAGCGGGGGAUAACUAUUGGAAACGAUAGCUAAUACCGCAUAAUAUUAAUUAUUGCAUGAUAAUUAAUUGAAAGGUGCAAUUGCACCACUACCAGAUGGACCUGCGUUGUAUUAGCUAGUAGGUGAGGUAACGGCUCACCUAGGCGACGAUACAUAGCCGACCUGAGAGGGUGGUCGGCCACACUGGGACUGAGACACGGCCCAGACUCCUACGGGAGGCAGCAGUAGGGAAUCUUCGGCAAUGGACGAAAGUCUGACCGAGCAACGCCGCGUGAGUGAAGAAGGGUUUCGGAUCGUAAAGCUCUGUUGUAAGAGAAGAACGGGUGUGAGAGUGGAAAGUUCACACUGUGACGGUAUCUUACCAGAAAGGGACGGCUAACUACGUG
RNAcentral lists this ribosomal RNA (505 nucleotides) under uncultured bacterium. Its description in RNAcentral is "partial 16S ribosomal RNA". It matches the Rfam family "Bacterial small subunit ribosomal RNA", at positions 28 to 507 of the family's 1533-position model. The record is from RNAcentral.